Molecule: non-coding RNA, 75 nt
Organism: Rhipicephalus sanguineus (brown dog tick)
Lineage: Eukaryota; Metazoa; Arthropoda; Arachnida; Ixodida; Ixodidae
Source: the annotation of a RefSeq genome assembly
GCCGCCGUAGCUCAGUUGGUAUAGAGCAUCGGGCGCGCAAUCCGAAGGUUGCAGGUCCGCUCCCUGCCGGCGGCA